This is a long non-coding RNA of Anguilla rostrata (American eel), 1322 nucleotides long. RefSeq lists it as uncharacterized. NCBI's taxonomy places the organism in Eukaryota, Metazoa, Chordata, Actinopteri, Anguilliformes, Anguillidae. The record is from RefSeq and is a predicted model, not a curated record. The transcript has 3 exons.
GUCCUUAAUACGCUACUCUGGAUAUUGUUGUUUCAAUAGACAGUAACGUUUAAUUAAUGUCUCCGUGCAAUCAUCGGAACUUUUGUAGACAAACAAUAAUAUUUUCAGCUGUUCUUAACACGACCAAAUAGGCAUUUGUCCCUAUCAUUUGAACAAUAUCACUCUCGCGGUGUUGUCACCCGUUGCGUGUGCAAUCAACUCAGAGUGCGUAAUAGGCACGAGCCUUUUCUAAACAGCGGCAGUGGCUUUAUGUCGAAUCAUUUAAAGCACAUACCGCCAUGCGACAAACGAAGAACAGAGGUGAAAUAUCUCACAUGGGUGUCGCUCGUGUGCCAUAUGUGGCUGUGGACGACACACGUGCCCUUGACUCACCUUCCACAGCAGAAGGCGCCGAGUGAAAACGGAACCACUGGGACUGUGCUGUUUGAACCAAGACCAGGGUCUCCACAUCGCCUGGCUGUGUGUGACGGAUGACGAGCAGAGGGUUGUAGGGGUAUUUCUGCGGUGGCGCUGGGCACUGUUUGGGUCCGUAUGUGCCAGCGGAGCUCUUUGGUGUGGGAAGUGAUGACUCCUGACGGCCGCGCAGGGCUGCUGCCUGCACUUCCAGCCUUGCUGCCGCGCUCGGACAGGCGGCUCCUCCGACUGUGUCCGGGGAGGGCAAGCGGAGGGUCGCGUCGUGGCGUCGCGGGCGGAGGGUCGCGACCGACGAAAGGACAGUGUGUCCGUCAAAGCUCUCCCUACCUCCCGUCCCUCGCCCUCAACUUUCAGGAACUGUGCGGCUUGCUUCAGACAGGCCUCAAAGCCGUCCUGAAAGUGCUGUCGUUCCGACCCUUCGCGUGGAACCAUGUUCUCGGUAUUCCGCAGGAGAAGGACUGUGUGCUCCAGGAUCUCAGCCUUCUCUACUCGUCCACUGGCAAGACACUAUAAUAGAGGUGCAGAAGCGAUUAGUACAUUGUUACUGAACUGGGACAGCAACAGGGCCCUCAGACUCUCCAGACUGCGGUUCAUUCUCUCCCUCCGAUGUCUCUCCACCUCAGACUUUAGGAGCUGUAAAAAUAACAUGGUGAGAGGAAAAUUAGGAGUCAAAAUCAGUAAUGACAAUUCACUUAAUGCCACUAUUAUUAUUUGCCCUUUAUAAUUUUAUUUGAAAUGUGUCAACAUCAAACAACACAGAGAUGCAAUUUGACCUUAAUUUCCACACUGCACUACAUCAAGAUGCUUGUAUUUUGACUUAUGUUUACUAUAUAUCUAUAAAACUCAUAAUUAAAUGAUCCCCUUUGGAAAUAAUUAUUUACUAAAUCUUACACAUACAUGCAGUUCCA